UCAGGGCUGCAUGGCAGGGGGUCACGGCGGCCUGGCACUGGGGUAGCCUGGAAGAGCCUGGCACCGCAUGGCACGAAGGUGUGGGGCAGGGCAGCCCAGCAGGGGAGAAGUGAGGCCGAUUCGGGGAGUCCCAGCAGGGGAGAGGUGAGAGCGAUGGGGGGGGUCCCAGCAGGGGAGAGGUGAGGGCAAUUUGGGGAGUCCCGGCAGGGGAGAGGUGAGGCCGAUUCAGGGAGUCCUGGCAGGGGAGAGGUGAGGUCGAUGGUGGGGGGUCCCGGCAGCAGAGAGGUGAGGCCGAUUCGGGGAGUCUCAACAAGGGAGAGGUGAGGACGAUUCGGGGGGUCCCGGCAGGGGAGAGGUUAGAUGAAUUUGGGGGGGUCCUGGCAGGGGAGAGAUUAGAUGAAUUCGGGGGGUCCCCAGGCUCUCAUGUC
This is a long non-coding RNA of Gopherus flavomarginatus (Mexican gopher tortoise), 428 nucleotides long. RefSeq lists it as uncharacterized. NCBI's taxonomy places the organism in Eukaryota, Metazoa, Chordata, Testudines, Testudinidae. The record is from RefSeq and is a predicted model, not a curated record. The transcript has 4 exons.